GUCUGGGGUCCCCGUGGGUCUGGGGUCUCUGUGGGUCUGGGGUCUCUGUCUCUCUGGGUCUGGGGUCCCGUGUCUCUGUGGGUCUGGGGUCCCCGCAUGGUCUGACGCCCUCCCCCCAGGGCAGUGCGUGAUCCAGGUGCUGCCGCCGCUGCCGACGCGCGGCCUGGGCGCGGCCGAGGUGCCGGCGCUGACCGAGCGCGUCCGCGCCGCCAUGCUGGCCGCCUUCGAGCGGCUCUCGGCCGAGCUGCGCCCGAGUGACCGCCAGAGUGACCACGGGAGUGACCACGGGAGUGACCGGCACAGUGACCACGGGAGUGACCAGCACAGUGACCGUGGGAGUGACCAGAACAGUGACCACGGGAGUGACCGCCCGAGUGACCAGCGCAGUGACCAGCACAGUGACCGCCUGAGUGACCGCCCGAGUGACCGCCAGAGUGACCGCCCGAGUGACCAGCGCAGUGACCGCGGGAGUGACCGCCCGAGUGACCGCCCGAGUGACCGCGGGAGUGACCGCCCGAGUGACCGCCAGAGUGACCACGGGAGUGACCAGAACAGUGACCGGCGCAGUGACCAGAACAGUGACCGGCGCAGUGACCAGCGCAGUGACCAGCGCAGUGACCACGGGAGUGACCGCCAGAGUGACCGCGGGAGUGACCGCGGGAGUGACCACCCGAGUGACCGCCUGAGUGACCGCCUGAGUGACCAGCGCAGUGACCGCGGGAGUGACCACCCGAGUGACCGCCCGAGUGACCGGCGCAGUGACCAGAACAGUGACCACGGGAGUGACCGCCCGAGUGACCAGAACAGUGACCGGCGCAGUGACCAGCGCAGUGACCAGCACAGUGACCACGGGAGUGACCGGCACAGUGACCACGGGAGUGACCGCCAGAGUGACCAGCGCAGUGACCAGCGCAGUGACCGCGGGAGUGACCGCGGGAGUGACCGCGGGAGUGACCGGCACAGUGACCACGGGAGUGACCGCGGGAGUGACCAGCGCAGUGACCAGAACAGUGACCGCCAGAGUGACCACAGGAGUGACCGCGGGAGUGACCACGGGAGUGACCGCAGGAGUGACCACGGGAGUGACCACGGGAGUGACCGCGGGAGUGACCAGCACAGUGACCGCCAGAGUGACCGCCUCAGUGACCACGGCCAUGACCACCAGAGUGACCGCCAGAGUGACCACCCCAGUGAUCACCCAAGUGACCGCCCCAGUGACCCAUGGAGUGAUCCCACAGCCAUGAGUGACCACUGGAGCGACCAGCAGAGUGACCACCAGAGUGAUCCCACAGUCACCAGUGACCACAGGAGUGACCACCGCAGUGACCCCACAGCCACCGGUGACCCCAUGGCCAUGAGUGACCCCUGGAGCGACCCCCAGAGCGACCCUCAGAGUGACCCCCGGAGUGACCCCCGGAGCAACUCACGGAGUGACCCCCGGAUUGACUCCACGGCCACAAGUGACCCCCAGAGCGACCCCCGGAGCGACCCCCACAGCCCCACGGCCGCCCAGAGCGACCCCCGGUGUCCGGCAGUGCCCCCGAGUGACCCCCAGCGCCCCAGGCUGCCCCACGGAGGGACCCCGCAGUGA
RNAcentral lists this long non-coding RNA (1591 nucleotides) under Chloebia gouldiae (Gouldian finch). Its description in RNAcentral is "Erythrura gouldiae (Gouldian finch) lncRNA (ENSEGOG00005018920.1)". Lineage: Eukaryota; Metazoa; Chordata; Aves; Passeriformes; Passeridae. The record is from RNAcentral.